GAUGAACGCUAGCGGGAGGCCUAACACAUGCAAGCCGAGCGGUAGAGUCUCUUCGGAGACUUGAGAGCGGCGCACGGGUGCGGAACACGUGUGCAACCUGCCUUUAUCUGGGGGAUAGCCUUUCGAAGGGAAGAUUAAUACCCCAUAAUAUACUGGAUGGCAUCAUCUGGUAUUGAAAACUCCGGUGGAUAGAGAUGGGCACGCGCAAGAUUAGAUAGUUGGUGAGGUAACGGCUCACCAAGUCAGCGAUCUUUAGGGGGCCUGAGAGGGUGAUCCCCCACACUGGGACUGGGACACGGACCAGACUCCUACGGGAGGCAGCAGUGAGGAAUAUUGGACAAUGGGUGAGAGCCUGAUCCAGCCAUCCCGCGUGAAGGACGACGGCCCUAUGGGUUGUAAACUUCUUUUGUAUAGGGAUAAACCUAGAUACGUGUAUCUAGCUGAAGGUACUAUACGAAUAAGCACCGGCUAACUCCGUG
RNAcentral lists this ribosomal RNA (479 nucleotides) under uncultured bacterium. Its description in RNAcentral is "partial 16S ribosomal RNA". It matches the Rfam family "Bacterial small subunit ribosomal RNA", at positions 28 to 507 of the family's 1533-position model. The record is from RNAcentral.